GUAUAAGCAAUGUGGUCUCGGACAAUGGCUGGGACGGACGGAGUACAAUUAUCAGUGUGUUUCAUCUUGUUCUCUCUGUCCUUCCUCUGCCCCGAAAUCUACAAGAAUAAAAAUACACAUCACACAAAAUAAGCUAAGGCAAAAUCAUUUGUGGAUGUUGAAGUAUAUAUAUAAUGGAUUGUAUUCUAUCAGGUUGCUUCAAGUAAAGAAUUUAAAUUUUUUGCCAAAAUUCUACGGGAUGUGACGUUUUGUAUAAAGACAACUUAAAAUAAAGUUUUGAAUUAAUAUUUAGAACCUUUUCCUUACUGUGAUGGAAAUGUAAAAAACAACUUGUUUGCACCUCGAUCAUUCAAGUGGAAUUUGAGACGUUGAUUAGCUGGGCUUCAAAACCGAGUUUUUGGAUCUAGAAGUCGGUUUAUUCGUACCGUUUGUGUGAAGAACUUAUAAACCAAUUUCUGAAUUUUAAGUCAGAAUAUGAAUUAAAAAUUUUAAUUUUUUUUGUUACUUAUUUUUAUUUGAAAUUUUAUUUUAAAAAAAUGUAAAGCACCACUUUCAAAUAUAAUUUAUAAUAUUUUAUUAUUAUAUUAAUAAUUUUUAUACCCAAGAAGUUCUAAAUAUGAAAAAAAAUUAUACAAACAUAUAAAUUAAAAACAAUUUUUCAUUUAUAAGUAACUUCUAAUUUAUGAACAAUAUAACUUAAGUCUAACGAUCUCCCGAUACCGGUCUCUUGCCAAAGUUGUAUGUGAAUUUCGGCACAAUUACAUCUUGUUAGUGAAUCCAUUUUCAUAUUCCUCUCCAAUCAAUUUUUAUUUAAUUCAAAAACAUAAAAGGAUUCCUGACAAGACAAAACAUAAAAGGAUUUGGUUGAUAGUAUCAUUAUCAGAAAAGGUUUCGGAUUCAACUAGCAAAUGGAGUUCACUUCUAAUUCGAUUAGCAAAAAGAUCAGUUUAAUCAGGAUGAAACCUGGAACUAUUAAUACCCUGAUAUGCACACAAUUCACAACACCUUAAUUCUUCCCUCAACAUGCCAACAUCUUCCAUCUAUCAUCUCCCUGAGGAGCUUGUAAUCAGAGUACUCUCAUCUUUGCCCGUAAAAUACGUGCUCCGAUGCAAACUGGUCUGCAAAUUAUGGCUAUCCAUUACUUCAGACCCCGAAUUCAUCCAAACUCAUCUCAAAUUCUCCCAGCAAAGACCUUCAGUGCUGGCAGACGCUGAAGUUUACGACAUGCAAGGCUCUUCUUACAAGAUUGUCUCGAUGAUCUCAAACUCCUUUGAAGAUUCUGUCACUGUUCCUCUGCCCUCGUCGUAUUCAGAUCCGGAUCAUGUUUCCUCUUCGUGUAAUGGCCUUGUGUGUUUAAACGAUUACAGCAAAUCUAAUAUAUACAUUUGGAACCCGUCAACUAGACAGGGGAAAGAGCUCCCUCGCCCGAAAAUUCAAGACAAUUAUACGCUUUUAAUUUGCAUAGGGUUUUAUUUCGACUCUGUCUCUGAUGACUACAAAAUUCUGAGGCUUGUAUUUGCAUAUCCACACAAGACUGCAAGACAGUCGAGAUCAAGUCUGCGAGUGGAGAUUUAUUCCACGAAAUCUGAUUCUUGGAGCGAGAUUCAAGUUGAAGAUGCAGAUAUAAGCUAUGUGUACUAUGGUCGAAACAUAGGAGGUGUAACAAGUGGUCCUGUUAUAAAAGGGGUACUAUAUACGACCGGUAACAAGGAGCUAAUCUCAUUCCGAUUGAAUAAAAGGGUGUUAAAACGAGUUUCGUUGCCUAGUAAUUUUAAAAUUAAUUAUGAGACCGAAGUUUUUGAAUUUGAAGGGUGCGCGGCUUUAAUCUUGUACCACAAUAAUGAGGAAUCACUUAGUUUGUGGACAUUUGAUGAUGAUGAUGAUGGCGAUGAUGAUGAUAAUUGGGGUCGAGGGAUUUGGACAAAGAAGUUGAAUUUAGAAGGUGAUAUUAGGAUGAACUGGACAAGCAAAUACUUUGGCAAUGGACAAUUUGUUGCAUGGGAAGAUUGUAAAAGAAUCAUCUUGUAUGACUAUAACAAGAAAGAGGCCAAGGAGCAUCGGCUUCAACUUCCAAGUAACUGGUAUAUUGAUUCAUUUUUCAGGCAUACUGAGAGUCUUGUUUCUCUCGAGGGGUUCACUAAAUUUUGAUUAGAGUACUGGUAUAAGCGAUGUGGUCUCAGACAAGAAAGAACGGGCAUGCAAGAUGUUUGUAUAUGGUGAUAACAAAUGGCUGGGAGCCUGGGACGGAGAGAGUACAACUUAUCGGUGUGUUUUCUCAAACUUACUACAUCUUAUAAUUGAAUCAAUUUCUAAGCUUGAAAUUCUUACUUGUUUGGAAACAUUUAGACGGAUAGAUUUGUAGCUCUAUGUUUUGGAUCCGCAUAGUCCUUCUCAUCUUGCUCUCUCUGUCCUUCCUCAGUCCCGAAAUCUACAAGAAUCAAAUUACACAUGACACAAAAUAAGCUAAGGCAAAGUCAUUUGUGGGUGUUGAAGUAUAUAUAAUGGAUUGUAUUCUAUCAGGUUGCUUCAAGUAAGAACAAAAUAAUUUGCAGUUUCUAUUUUAACUAUGCUCCAGAAGCUUAUUCGUACUUAUGAAUCAAUUUUUGACUUCUAAGUCAGAAUCGAGAAAUUGAAAAUUCUAACCUUAUUUUUACUUAUUUUAUUUUUGAAAAUAUGUUUUACAAAAAAUGUAAAGGAUCACUUUCAAAAAAAAUUUAUAAAAAUUUAAUUAUUAUAUUAAUACUUUCUAUACCCAAUAAGUUCUAAAUAUGAAGAAAAAUUAUAUAAACACAUAAAUUAAAAAUUAUUUAUUAUUUAUAAAUAACUUCUGACUUAUAAACAAUAUAACUUAAGUUAAACAUAUCACGAUACUGAUCUCUUGUCAAAGUUGUACGUGCAUCUUCUUAGUGAAUUCAUUUUCAUAUUCCUACUCCAAUCAAAUUUUCAUGUAAUCCAAAUACAUAAUAAGAUUUGGUUGAUGAUAUCAUUAUCAGGAACGGUUUUGGAUUCAACUAGCAAAUAGAGUUGAUUUCUAAUUCGAAUAGCAAAAAGAUUAGUUUAGUUAGGAUGAAAUUCUUACUUGUUUGGAAACAUUUAGAUGGAUAGAUUUGUACCUCUAUGUUUUGGAUCCGCAUAUUCCUUCUCAUCUUGCUCUCUUUCCUUCCUCUGUCCUGAAAUCUACAAGAAUCAAGAUACACAUGACACGAAAUUAGGUAUGGCGAAAACAUUUGUG
Molecule: long non-coding RNA, 3232 nt
Filed under: Daucus carota (carrot)
Lineage: Eukaryota; Viridiplantae; Streptophyta; Magnoliopsida; Apiales; Apiaceae
Description: long non-coding RNA (DCAR_LNC002555)
Source: RNAcentral